CUGCGGAGGCGACUCCUGCACCCGCCGGGCCCACGCUGGGGUCACGGUGGAGGAACUCAGAAGCUCUUUGCUGCAGCCCAGUGGCCGCCGGCGGAACCUGACGGGGCUCGAGGCCCGGGCGGGACAGGGCCAGGCCGUGAGCGUGCCCUUUAUCCCCCACAGCCGUGAGUUUGGGGGCAUCUGUCCCCCUUCGCAGGAUGAAGGCUGGUAACCCCAGUGUUAACCUCUGCAGAACUUAGAGGCAACAUCAAGUUAAAAGGAGGAGACCAGCUUCCCUCUCCACAUGCUCCCAGCAUGAUCCACUGCCCUACCACAGUACUGAAAGCAACACAACCAACUAUUCUUGGACUAAAGCCUCCAAAACUAUGAUUUAAAAUAAAGCUUUCCUCCUUUGAAGUUCAUUGUCUCAGGGGCUGUAUGAUUAGAAACAAACACAGUGAAUGCAGUUGCCAAGCACUGUCCACCAGAAAGAUAGCAUGGACAUUGAGGCAGCCAUGACAGGACAACUAAAGACACACCUGAAAGAGGACUUCCAGAGCUACUUCAGAAAGUGGCAAGAACAAUGGGAUAA
This 571-nucleotide long non-coding RNA is filed under the name Heterocephalus glaber (naked mole-rat). RNAcentral's name for it is "lncRNA (ENSHGLG00100050982.1)". Lineage: Eukaryota; Metazoa; Chordata; Mammalia; Rodentia; Bathyergidae. The record is from RNAcentral.